CUCUUUCUGAACGUUAACUCGAACGAAGUCGUUCAUUUCUAGUUUUAUUCCGGUCAUCUUAAGCCGUUUUCUUCGUUAGCUGUUUUAAAACAGCUCGAAGAUGAGAGCGAAGUGGCGUAAGAAGCGUAUGCGAAGGCUAAAGCGUAAGCGCAGGAAGAUGCGUGCGAGGUCCAAGUAAAUUGACUUGAAGGUACUUCAUUCCCUCAUGGUAACUGCAUAGGUUAGACUGGAAGUUAAUUCUGAGUGUUUGAAGUCUCAUGUUUUUUAUAAGUUCUUUAAAAAUUGUCAUUGGUAUUCUCAGUGAUGAAUCAAAAAAAUAAUAAAAAUAUUUAAAAAUGUAA
Onthophagus taurus is the source of this 341-nucleotide long non-coding RNA. RefSeq lists it as uncharacterized. The record is from RefSeq and is a predicted model, not a curated record. Lineage: Eukaryota; Metazoa; Arthropoda; Insecta; Coleoptera; Scarabaeidae.